GACAGAGGGUGCAAACGUUGUUCGGAAUUACUGGGCGUAAAGCGCGUGUAGGCGGCUCGGCAAGUCGGGUGUGAAAGCCCUGGGCUUAACCUAGGAAGUGCACUCGAAACUGCCAAGCUUGAGUUCUGGAGAGGAAGGCGGAAUUCUCGGUGUAGAGGUGAAAUUCGUAGAUAUCGAGAGGAACACCGGUGGCGAAGGCGGCCUUCUGGACCAUAACUGACGCUGAGGCGCGAAAGCCAGGGGAGCAAACGGG
Molecule: ribosomal RNA, 253 nt
Filed under: uncultured bacterium
Lineage: Bacteria
Description: partial 16S ribosomal RNA
Rfam family: Bacterial small subunit ribosomal RNA
Source: RNAcentral